Molecule: ribosomal RNA, 223 nt
Filed under: uncultured bacterium
Lineage: Bacteria
Description: partial 16S ribosomal RNA
Rfam family: Bacterial small subunit ribosomal RNA
Source: RNAcentral
UAACGCGUGGAUAACCUGCCUCACACAGGGGAGUAACAGUUAGAAAUGACUGCUAAUACCGCAUAAGCGCACGGUACCGCAUGGUACAGUGUGAAAAACUCCGGUGGUGUGAGAUGGAUCCGCGUCUGAUUAGGUAGUUGGUGAGGUAACGGCCCACCAAGCCGACGAUCAGUAGCCGACCUGAGAGGGUGAUCGGCCACAUUGGGACUGAGACACGGCCCAA